AGGUUGGCUCAGAAGCAGCCAUCCUUUAAAGAGUGCGUAACAGCUCACUAGUCGAAUGACUCUGCGCCGAUAAUUUACCGGGGCUAAGCAUACUACCGAAGCUAUGGAUCCCAAGGGAUGGUAGGGGAGCGUUCCAUGAACGGAGAAGUACGACCGAAAGGACGUGUGGAGAUCAUGGAAGAGAGAAUGCCGGUGUGAGUAGCGGAACGUGGGUGAGAAUCCCACGCACCGAAAACCCAAGGUUUCCAGAGGAAGGUUCGUCCGCUCUGGGUAAGUCGGGACCUAAGGCGAGGCCGAAAGGCGUAGUCGAUGGACAACAGGUAGAGAUUCCUGUACCCGUAUAUAUGUGAAGGAAUGACGGAGAGAGGAAGCUGCAGCCAGCGGCUGGAAGAGCUGGUGCAAGCGAGAUAUCGGGAUGGCAGGCAAAUCCACCAUCCGAAACGAGAAGGCGUGAAGCGUACGGAAAGCUACGGCGAGUACGGAAGGCAGUGGAGGAACUUCCAAGAAAAGUUUCUAACGUUAAGUAUAUAUGGCCCGUACCGAAAAUGGACACACAUGGGUGAGGAGAGAAUCCUAAGGUGAGCGAGAGAACUAUAGCUAAGGAACUCUGCAAAAUGACUCCGUAACUUAGGGAGAAGGAGUGCUCAUAGAGAUAUGAGCCGCAGUGAAACGGCCCAAGCGACUGUUUACCAAAAACACAGCUCUCUGCUAAGCCGCAAGGCGAAGUAUAGGGGGUGACGCCUGCCCGGUGCUGGAAGGUUAAGGGGAGGGGUUAACGCAAGUGAAGCCCUGAACUGAAGCCCCAGUAAACGGCGGCCGUAACUAUAACGGUCCUAAGGUAGCGAAAUUCCUUGUCAGGUAAGUUCUGACCCGCACGAAAGGCGUAACGAUUUGGGCGCUGUCUCAGCUGUAGACUCGGUGAAGUCUUAGUACCUGUGAAGAUGCAGGUUACCCGCGACUAGACGGAAAGACCCCAUGGAGCUUCACUGCAGGUUGAUAUUGGGAUUUGAUGCAGCAUGUACAGGAUAGGUAGGAGGCAAAGAGAUGGAUACGCCAGUAUUCAAGGAGCCGCUGUUGGGAUACUACCCCUGUUGUAUUGGAUUUCUAACCGGACGACGUAGAGCCGUUGACGGGACAGUGUCAGUCGGGCAGUUUGACUGGGGCGGUCGCCUCCCAAAGAGUAACGGAGGCGCCCAAAGAUACCCUCAGCUUGGAUGGAAACCAAGCGCAGAGUGCAAAGGCAAAAGGGUGUUUGACUGCGAGACC
RNAcentral lists this ribosomal RNA (1266 nucleotides) under human gut metagenome. Its description in RNAcentral is "bacterial LSU rRNA". It matches the Rfam family "Bacterial large subunit ribosomal RNA", at positions 1098 to 2382 of the family's 2925-position model. The record is from RNAcentral.